This 403-nucleotide unclassified non-coding RNA is filed under the name fungal sp. RNAcentral describes it as "partial internal transcribed spacer region". The stretch from base 1 to 46 matches the Rfam family "Eukaryotic small subunit ribosomal RNA", at positions 1786 to 1831 of the family's 1831-position model. The record is from RNAcentral. Lineage: Eukaryota; Fungi.
AAGUCGUAACAAGGUUUCCGUAGGUGAACCUGCGGAAGGAUCAUUAACACGUAUCCAAACGUUAAAACCCCCCUGUGAACCUUCAACACCAAUGCUCUCUGAACGCCUGAAUUUUGGCUAUCCCUAGUAAAUCAUUGUUGGAAAGAUUUUUGAGUUAGGGACUUCCGUCUGGGGUUCGGAUUGAGCGGAUUUGCAUUAGAAGCAUCUUGGUGCCCCCAAGCAACCACUGAUCUGAAAGUGUUUGGUGAAUUGUGUAAGGGCGGCGCACGGCCGGCGACCGGGGUCCAUUACCACGACCUACUACGUGGCCAGUUUACCACCAUAACAUGACGCCCCGCGCGCGCCGAAAGGUUGUACGCACGCCUAAAACGAACAACUGUUAACAAUGGAUAUCUUGGUUCUC